GACGAACGCUGGCGGCGUGCUUAACACAUGCAAGUCGAACGAAAAUACCAAGCUUGCUUGGUUGAUUAGUGGCGAACGGGUGAGUAACACGUGAGUAACCUGCCCCCUUCUUCGGGAUAACGGUCUGAAAGGGCUGCUAAUACCGGGUAUUCACUGGUCUCCGCAUGGGGUCUGGUGGAAAGGGUUUUUUUCUGGUGGGGGAUGGGCUCGCGGCCUAUCAGCUUGUUGGUGGGGUGAUGGCCCACCAAGGCUUUGACGGGUAGCCGGCCUGAGAGGGUGACCGGUCACAUUGGGACUGAGAUACGGCCCAGACUCCUACGGGAGGCAGCAGUGGGGAAUAUUGCACAAUGGGCGCAAGCCUGAUGCAGCGACGCCGCGUGAGGGAUGGAGGCCUUCGGGUUGUGAACCUCUUUCGCCCGUGGUCAAGCCGCGACGUGGGUCGUGGUGAGGGUAGUGGGUAAAGAAGCGCCGGCUAACUACGUGCCAGCAGCCGCGGUAAUACGUAGGGCGCGAGCGUUGUCCGGAAUUAUUGGGCGUAAAGGGCUUGUAGGCGGCUGGUCGCGUCUGCCGUGAAAUCCUCUGGCUCAACUGGGGGCGUGCGGUGGGUCCGGGCUGGCUUGAGUGCGGCGGGGGAGGCUGGAAUCCUGGUGUACCGGUGGAAUGCAAAAAUAUCAGAAAACACCUGUGCCUAAUGUGUGUUUUUGGGCCGUUUCUGACUCGGGGUAGGAAAUCUUGGGGACGAACGGAAUAG
Molecule: ribosomal RNA, 751 nt
Filed under: uncultured Actinomyces sp.
Lineage: Bacteria; Bacillati; Actinomycetota; Actinomycetes; Actinomycetales; Actinomycetaceae
Description: bacterial SSU rRNA
Rfam family: Bacterial small subunit ribosomal RNA
Source: RNAcentral